GCGGAUGUGGCUCAGUGGUAGAGCGCUUGCCUAGCACGUGUGAGGCACUGAGUUCGAACCUCAGCACCACA
RNAcentral lists this transfer RNA (71 nucleotides) under Urocitellus parryii (Arctic ground squirrel). RNAcentral describes it as "Spermophilus parryii (Arctic ground squirrel) tRNA". It matches the Rfam family "tRNA". Rfam says of the family: Transfer RNA (tRNA) molecules are approximately 80 nucleotides in length. Their secondary structure includes four short double-helical elements and three loops (D, anti-codon, and T loops). Lineage: Eukaryota; Metazoa; Chordata; Mammalia; Rodentia; Sciuridae. The record is from Rfam by way of RNAcentral. RNAcentral also lists the same sequence under 1 other name.